GACUCUCAAAUUAAAGCUGGAAUCCUAAAUGCAAAGAAAUAAACGCUGUUUGCUAUGAAUUCUGAUUAUUUCUCUUCAAUGAGUAACCAAGAGCCAAUUUCUCAUAUAAUAGUAGUUUUGCAUACUAAGGAGAAGCAGAAUUGAUUGGGUUCCGCAGACACCAAUUUUAGCUGAAUUAAAAGAAAAAAAGGAAUGAUGGAAAAGAGAUGGAAAGGACCUCAGAAAGCACCUAAUUUAAUCCUUCAUGUUAUAGAACCAGAGGUGGUGAGAACCUUGCCUGUGAGUACACAGCAAAAUGGAUGCUCAGGGAGACCUAGGAGCUGCAUUUCAGACUUCUUGGACAGGAAAUUAAAGAGUAUAAUCAAGUUUAGUGAAGAAUAACAAAUUCUCAUGUCGACUACAGAUACUUUAUUGGAACAUGUCUCAAGUGACAGACAAGGUAAACAAUAAGAUGUCAUGGUGUUCAAGGGGAAAGAAUCAGCACAAUCUUAUUAAAAAGAGCAGUAAACUGGAAACGGAAGAUCUGGACCUGAACGACUUUCUCAGUAGGACCCCUACAGCAGGACAAAAUGUCAAGAGUUACUAAAAGGAAUGACAUAGAAUUUAAAAACUUCUGCACAGAAAAGGGAACAAUUAAGAGUAUGAAGAAAGAACCUACAGAAUUGGAGAGAAUAUUUUCUAGUUACAUUUCUGACAGAUAUUAAUACCCAACAUAUACAAAGAACUUAAAACACUUAAUACCCAAAACUUCCAGAUAACAUUUAAUAAAUGGGCAAAUGAAUUAAACAGACGCUUCUCAAAAGAAGAAAUACAAAUGUUCAACAUCAUUAGUCAUUAGGGAAAUGCAAAUCAAAACACACUAAGAUUUUUUCUCACUCCAAUUAAAACAAUAGCCAUCAAGAAUACAAAUGAUAAUAAAUGCUAGAAUGGAUGUGGCAUAGAACCACCACAUGGCCCAGGUAUACUAUAGUGAUACAUGCAUACCCAUGUUUUUAGCUGCACAAUUCACAAUAGGUAAACUAUGGAACUAGUCUAGUUGUCCAUCAAUGGAUAAAUGGAUAAAGAAAAUGUGAUAUAUAUACACAAUGGAGUUUUACUCAGCCAUGAAGAAUAAAAUUAUGCCAUUUUUAGGAAUAUGAAUGGAUCUUAAGAACAUUAUGUUAAGUGAAAUAUGCCAAACUUAGGAAGUCAAGGGUAAUAUGUUUUCUCUCAUGUGUGAAAGCUAAAAAUGAAAAAGGAAAAGAAAGUGUGGGGAAGCA
This is a non-coding RNA of Ictidomys tridecemlineatus (thirteen-lined ground squirrel), 1259 nucleotides long. NCBI's taxonomy places the organism in Eukaryota, Metazoa, Chordata, Mammalia, Rodentia, Sciuridae. The record is from RefSeq and is a predicted model, not a curated record.